CUUUAUCAAACCUAUGAAAGUGACCAUGAAGGUCUGCUAAGUGUUAGAAGGGGAAAGAUGAUUUCUAACGCUGCACUCUGCAGGUUAGGCUGCAGUUCAGGCCUUCCGGGUUUCAUACGAAAUGAACCAUUUGAUCCUCAUUCCUGGAUAAUUCCUGGUGAUAAAUCUGGGAGUUUUAAAAUAGAAGAGUUGAUUAUCAAAGGGAAACAAAUUUAUAUUUCUGGAAAAAGAAAAUUAAAACGAAAGCUUAUCGCUGAUGUAGUUGAGGCACUAAUUGGUGCCUUCCUAAUCACUGGUGGUGAGAAGGCUGCAUUGUUGUUCAUGGAUUGGGUUGGUAUUAAAGUGAAUUUUAAUAAAGUACCCUAUGAGAGGAACUUUGACAUUCAACCAGAGAAACUGAUAAAUGUCAGCCAUUUAGAAUCACAACUAAAUUACUCAUUCCACGACAGUACUCUUUUAGUGGAAGCUCUGACCCAUGGUUCUUACAUGUUGCCUGAAGUUCCUAGAUGUUAUCAGAGACUAGAAUUUCUUGGAGAUUCAGUAUUGGAUUA
RNAcentral lists this small RNA (551 nucleotides) under Vigna angularis var. angularis. RNAcentral's name for it is "Non-protein coding transcript". Lineage: Eukaryota; Viridiplantae; Streptophyta; Magnoliopsida; Fabales; Fabaceae. The record is from RNAcentral.